This is a non-coding RNA of Salvelinus sp. IW2-2015, 347 nucleotides long. NCBI's taxonomy places the organism in Eukaryota, Metazoa, Chordata, Actinopteri, Salmoniformes, Salmonidae. The record is from RefSeq and is a predicted model, not a curated record.
AAUGUAUUUGGCUAAGGUGUAUGUAAACUUCCGACUUCAACUGCAGGUCUGUACACAGCAUUCUCUCUCCAUCUUCAGGUAGGUCUGUACACAGCAUUCUUCUCCAUCUUCAGGUAGUUUCUGUACACAGCAUUCUCUCUCCAUCUUCAGGCAGGUCUGUGCACAGCAUUCUCUCUCCAUCUUCAGGCAGGUCUGUGCACAGCAUUCUCUCUCCAUCUUCAGGUAGGUCUGUACACAGCAUUCUCUCUCCAUCUUCAGGUAGGUCUGUACAGUACACAGCAUUCUCAGAAUCUUUAGGUAUAUCUUAAAAAAAAAAAAACGUUUUUAUUUAACCAAUGUCUUUACUU